This 79-nucleotide microRNA precursor is filed under the name Schistosoma margrebowiei. Its description in RNAcentral is "mir-3492 microRNA precursor family". It matches the Rfam family "mir-3492 microRNA precursor family". The record is from Rfam by way of RNAcentral. Lineage: Eukaryota; Metazoa; Platyhelminthes; Trematoda; Strigeidida; Schistosomatidae.
AGCCUUCUGUAUCCGUGCUGAGAUUUCGUCACAUACAAGACCACAACGGCUGAUGAGUAUUCGCAAGGAACAGUCGAUU